CGGAGGAUGCAAGCGUUAUCCGGAUUUAUUGGGUUUAAAGGGUGCGUAGCGGAUAAAUAAGUCAGUGGUGAAAGCCUGCAGCUCAACUGUAGAAUUGCCAUUGAUACUGUUUAUCUUGAGUACAGCUGAGGUGGGCGGAAUAUGACAUGUAGCGGUGAAAUGCUUAGAUAUGUCAUAGAACACCGAUUGCGAAGGCAGCUCACUAAACUGUUACUGACGCUGAGGCACGAAAGCGUGGGGAGCAAACAGGAUUAGAUACCCUGGUAGUCCACGCCCUAAACUAUGAUCACUCGAUGUUGGCGAUACACUGUCAGCGUCUAAGGGAAACCAUUAAGUGAUCCACCUGGGGAGUACGGUCGCAAGACUG
This 367-nucleotide ribosomal RNA is filed under the name uncultured organism. Its description in RNAcentral is "bacterial SSU rRNA". It matches the Rfam family "Bacterial small subunit ribosomal RNA", at positions 526 to 896 of the family's 1533-position model. The record is from RNAcentral.